This 164-nucleotide unclassified non-coding RNA is filed under the name uncultured Ascomycota. RNAcentral's name for it is "sequence contains ITS1". Lineage: Eukaryota; Fungi; Ascomycota. The record is from RNAcentral.
CAGAGUUCGUGCCCUCCUGGGUAGAUCUCCCACCCUUGUCUAUAUCAUAGAUUGUUGCUUUGGCGGGCCGUACGCUUCGGCUACCCGGGGAACCCCCCGGCGCGCCCGCCAGAGGACCCCUAAACUCUGAAUAUUAGUGUCGUCCGAGUACUAUCUAAUAGUUA